CCUUCCCGCCGUCUCCCAUCCAUUCAUCCACAUGCCGCAGCGCCCUCGUCCAAAUCUCGGCGUCCCACCCAUGGCCGUCCGCGCGCUGGACAAGGCGCUGCCCGCCAAGCUGCUCUCCACAGCGGCCGCCGUCGCCGUCGUCCGCUCCCCCACCGGGAGCGGAGCCGGCCGUGGCGGACUCACGCGAGGAUCCUGGCCUCAGACGCCGACGCGGGCAGCAUCAUUGGCAAGGCCGGCUCCGACAUCCACGGCAUGGAGGACCGCUCUGGGGCCACAUCAAGCUCUCCAGGAGAGGCCGGCCCCGUCUCCGGCCUUCUCCCGCCCCACCGGCCGCCGCUCCCCGACCUCACGCUCCUCUCCACCGCCCGCUCGGUCGCCGCCCCGUCGCGCCGCCGCUCCGCCCCAAGAUUGGCGACAUUCAUUGUUGCAUGCAUUUUUGGUGGACAAUCUUCAGUUGAACCUGAGUGUUGACUCGAUCUUCCGUUGCGAACAAUGUUCGGCUUACUGAAUAUCGUGAUGUACCGGCUCUGCAAUGGCAUUGCUUUCUGCCACGAACGCGGACCUCGAGCCACACAACCUGCUCAUGGGUGGAUGCGUUGGUAUCCUCUGGUUUGAUCCCAGCAAGAGUGAGCUCCGCGUCCAAUUCCUGGCCGUCCUCCGCAGCAAGGAGCUGGGCCAAGGGAGCAAGCAACGCCGCUGGUUCCUUCGAGGAUGCGUGCUACUGGUCGAGUCUUGUGGAGAAGCAGGGCGGAUCAGGCACCGUCUCACUUGUGCCACUGUGGUGAAUGAGGUUUUAAAAUGUUGAAGGAGGAGGACAAUAGGAACUUCUGUUAUGUCUAUGAAGUUUUCAAAUGUUGAAGGAGGAGGACAAUAGGAACUUCUGUUAUGUCUUAUCGUCUAAAUUUCUGUUCUAACUUUCUUUGUCGUAGAAUAGUUUUGUUUGGCACUUGCUGUUCCUGGAAAGUAAAGAUAUGUAUUGCUAGAAUGAAUGGUUGUAAUAUUAUAACAUUGCACAUUGCUUUGAAAAUGUAUGAGAACCGGGCUAG
This is a long non-coding RNA of Triticum dicoccoides, 1046 nucleotides long. RefSeq lists it as uncharacterized. The transcript has 5 exons. NCBI's taxonomy places the organism in Eukaryota, Viridiplantae, Streptophyta, Magnoliopsida, Poales, Poaceae. The record is from RefSeq and is a predicted model, not a curated record.